This 107-nucleotide ribosomal RNA is filed under the name Prolemur simus (greater bamboo lemur). The record is from RNAcentral. Lineage: Eukaryota; Metazoa; Chordata; Mammalia; Primates; Lemuridae.
AGGAGAGGCCAUACCACCCUGAAUGUACCUGAUCUCGACUGAUCUCAGAAGCUAAGCAGGGUCAGGCCUGGUUAGUACUUGGAUAGGAGAAUAAUUAAUUUCUAAUA